This 430-nucleotide ribosomal RNA is filed under the name Enterobacter sp. T3. RNAcentral describes it as "bacterial SSU rRNA". It matches the Rfam family "Bacterial small subunit ribosomal RNA", at positions 566 to 995 of the family's 1533-position model. The record is from RNAcentral. Lineage: Bacteria; Pseudomonadati; Pseudomonadota; Gammaproteobacteria; Enterobacterales; Enterobacteriaceae.
CGCACGCAGGCGGUCUGUUAAGUCAGAUGUGAAAUCCCCGGGCUCAACCCGGGAACUGCAUUUGAAACUGGCAGGCUUGAGUCUCGUAGAGGGGGGUAGAAUUCCAGGUGUAGCGGUGAAAUGCGUAGAGAUCUGGAGGAAUACCGGUGGCGAAGGCGGCCCCCUGGACGAAGACUGACGCUCAGGUGCGAAAGCGUGGGGAGCAAACAGGAUUAGAUACCCUGGUAGUCCACGCCGUAAACGAUGUCGACUUGGAGGUUGUGCCCUUGAGGCGUGGCUUCCGGAGCUAACGCGUUAAGUCGACCGCCUGGGGAGUACGGCCGCAAGGUUAAAACUCAAAUGAAUUGACGGGGGCCCGCACAAGCGGUGGAGCAUGUGGUUUAAUUCGAUGCAACGCGAAGAACCUUACCUGGCCUUGACAUCCAGAGAA